AGCGGUGGAGCAUGUGGUUUAAUUCGAUGCUACGCGAAGAACCUUACCAGGUCUUGACAUCUUCUGCCAACCUAAGAGAUUAGGUGUUCCCUUCGGGGACAGAAUGACAGGUGGUGCAUGGUUGUCGUCAGCUCGUGUCGUGAGAUGUUGGGUUAAGUCCCGCAACGAGCGCAACCCUUAUUGUUAGUUGCCAGCAUUCAGUUGGGCACUCUAGCAAGACUGCCGGUGACAAACCGGAGGAAGGUGGGGAUGACGUCAAAUCAUCAUGCCCCUUAUGACCUGGGCUACACACGUGCUACAAUGGACGGUACAACGAGUCGCGAAACCGCGAGGUCAAGCUAAUCUCUUAAAGCCGUUCUCAGUUCGGAUUGUAGGCUGCAACUCGCCUACAUGAAGUUGGAAUCGCUAGUAAUCGUGGAUCAGCAUGCCACGGUGAAUACGUUCCCGGGCCUUGUACACACCGCCCGUCACACCAUGAGAGUUUGUAACACCCAAAGCCGGUGAGGUAACCUUCGGGGACCAGCCGUCUAAGGUGGGACAGAUGAUUAGGGUGAAGUCGUAACAAGGUAACC
Molecule: ribosomal RNA, 572 nt
Filed under: uncultured Lactobacillus sp.
Lineage: Bacteria; Bacillati; Bacillota; Bacilli; Lactobacillales; Lactobacillaceae
Description: bacterial SSU rRNA
Rfam family: Bacterial small subunit ribosomal RNA
Source: RNAcentral